CCUUGCACACACCGCCCGUCAAGUCAUGAAAGUCGGUAACACCCGAAGCCGGUGGCCCAACCCUUGUGGAGGGAGCUGUCGAAGGUGGGAUCGGUGAUUAGGACU
This 105-nucleotide ribosomal RNA is filed under the name uncultured bacterium. RNAcentral's name for it is "partial 16S ribosomal RNA". It matches the Rfam family "Bacterial small subunit ribosomal RNA", at positions 1379 to 1482 of the family's 1533-position model. The record is from RNAcentral.